Molecule: ribosomal RNA, 406 nt
Filed under: uncultured bacterium
Lineage: Bacteria
Description: bacterial SSU rRNA
Rfam family: Bacterial small subunit ribosomal RNA
Source: RNAcentral
AACGAACGCUGGCGGCAGGCUUAACACAUGCAAGUCGAACGGUUGUAGCAAUACAGCAGUGGCGCACGGGUGAGUAACGCGUGGAUAUCUGCCUUUUGGUUUGGAAUAACUCCGGGAAACUGGAGCUAAUACCGGAUGGUUCCUACGGGAUAAAGAUUUAUCGCCAAAAAGAUGAGUCCGCGUACGAUUAGCUAGUUGGUGAGGUAAUGGCUCACCAAGGCGACGAUCGUUAGCUGGUCUGAGAGGACGAUCAGCCACACUGGGACUGAGACACGGCCCAGACUCCUACGGGAGGCAGCAGUGGGGAAUAUUGGACAAUGGGGGCAACCCUGAUCCAGCCAUGCCGCGUGAGUGAUGAAGGCCUUCGGUUGUAAGCUCUUUGCGGGACGAUGAUGACGGUACCCGC